UACGGGGGGAGCAAGCGUUGUUCGGAUUUACUGGGCGUAAAGGGCGCGUAGGCGGCCGCGACAAGUCACUUGUGAAAUCUCCGGGCUUAACUCGGAACGGUCAAGUGAUACUGUCGGGCUAGAGUGCAGAAGGGGCAACUGGAAUUCUCGGUGUAGCGGUGAAAUGCGUAGAUAUCGACCGGAACUCCGGUGGCGAAGGCGAGGUGCUGGACCCUUUCUGACGCUGAGGCGCGAAAGCCAGGGGAGCAAACGGG
RNAcentral lists this ribosomal RNA (254 nucleotides) under uncultured bacterium. RNAcentral describes it as "partial 16S ribosomal RNA". It matches the Rfam family "Bacterial small subunit ribosomal RNA", at positions 524 to 776 of the family's 1533-position model. The record is from RNAcentral.